ACGAGACCUCAGGUCAGGCGGGGCUACCCCGCUGAAUUUAAGCAUAUCAAUAAGCGGGAGGAAAA
Molecule: ribosomal RNA, 65 nt
Filed under: Astragalus suberosus subsp. suberosus
Lineage: Eukaryota; Viridiplantae; Streptophyta; Magnoliopsida; Fabales; Fabaceae
Description: partial 26S ribosomal RNA
Source: RNAcentral